Molecule: transfer RNA, 76 nt
Filed under: Pseudomonadota bacterium
Lineage: Bacteria; Pseudomonadati; Pseudomonadota
Also listed under: 1 other name
Description: tRNA-Arg
Rfam family: tRNA
About the family: Transfer RNA (tRNA) molecules are approximately 80 nucleotides in length. Their secondary structure includes four short double-helical elements and three loops (D, anti-codon, and T loops). Further hydrogen bonds mediate the characteristic L-shaped molecular structure. tRNAs have two regions of fundamental functional importance: the anti-codon, which is responsible for specific mRNA codon recognition, and the 3' end, to which the tRNAs corresponding amino acid is attached (by aminoacyl-tRNA synthetases). tRNAs cope with the degeneracy of the genetic code in two manners: having more than one tRNA (with a specific anti-codon) for a particular amino acid; and 'wobble' base-pairing, i.e. permitting non-standard base-pairing at the 3rd anti-codon position.
Source: RNAcentral
GCACCCGUAGCUCAGAGGAUAGAGCACCGGCCUCCGGAGCCGGGUGUCGGGCGUUCGAAUCGCCCCGGGUGCGCCA